RNAcentral lists this transfer RNA (72 nucleotides) under Heterocephalus glaber (naked mole-rat). It matches the Rfam family "tRNA". Rfam says of the family: Transfer RNA (tRNA) molecules are approximately 80 nucleotides in length. Their secondary structure includes four short double-helical elements and three loops (D, anti-codon, and T loops). The record is from Rfam by way of RNAcentral. Lineage: Eukaryota; Metazoa; Chordata; Mammalia; Rodentia; Bathyergidae.
GGGAAUAUAGCUCAGUGGUAGAGCACUUGCCUAGCAAGUAUGAAGCCCUGAGUUCAAUUCCUAGUAUCAUCA